RNAcentral lists this ribosomal RNA (433 nucleotides) under uncultured bacterium. RNAcentral describes it as "partial 16S ribosomal RNA". It matches the Rfam family "Bacterial small subunit ribosomal RNA", at positions 29 to 507 of the family's 1533-position model. The record is from RNAcentral.
AGCGAACGCUGGCGGCAGGCCUAACACAUGCAAGUCGAACGAACUCUUCGGAGUUAGUGGCGGACGGGUGAGUAACCCGUGGGAACGUGCCUUUUGGUUCGGACUAACUCAGGGAAACUUGUGCUAAUACCGAAUGUGCCCUUCGGGGGAAAGAUUUAUCGCCAUUAGAGCGGCCCGCGUCUGAUUAGCUAGUUGGUGAGGUAACGGCUCACCAAGGCGACGAUCAGUAGCUGGUCUGAGAGGAUGACCAGCCACACUGGGACUGAGACACGGCCCAGACUCCUACGGGAGGCAGCAGUGGGGAAUCUUGCGCAAUGGGCGAAAGCCUGACGCAGCCAUGCCGCGUGAAUGAUGAAUGUCUUAGGAUUGUAAAAUUCUUUCACCGGGGACGAUAAUGACGGUACCCGGAGAAGAAGCCCCGGCUAACUUCGUG